GACCGAGAGCCAGACGGCGGCGGCAGCAACCAGGGCGGACAGCGAAAGGCCAAGCGCCUCCACCAAGGUCCGGCUGAGCGGCAGUGCAGUAGAGCCCCCUGUCGCUUCAUGAGCAAGACAGUGACGGUGGCGGCAGGAGGCAGCAGCGGGGAGCGUAAGGAAGUGAAUAGAGAUUCGGGGCCGCGGCCCGGGCCCGCCGAGAGGAACAAUCGCCUAGGUCGCCCAUUGGCCCGCGGCCCGGUCCGACGUCAGCGAUGACAGGUCUCUCCGCACGCGAAUACACACACACACACACACACACACACACACACACACACACAAUCACAACUGCUCCAGCUCCCCUCCCCACCCCCAUCUCAGGCUUCUACUGCUCAUGCGCUCUGACCCGGGCAUGGAUUCUUUUCUCCACUUGUGAGCCCCCUCCCCCUUCUCUCCCGCAGGCUGGGCAGAUCCGCUUGCCUCGCGGCUCCUGGAAAAGAGCGGGCUUGGGUUUGGGGAGGGGGCUUGCGCUGAACCAAAGGUCCUAAGGACAGACCAGAGCCCCCAGCCCCGCCGGGACUGAUGGGCAGCACCGGGCGCGCGGGGACCGCGGCCUGCUUCUACAGUUUGUCCCAAGAGUCGGGCCGAGGCGAGGGCCGGGACUGGGGGAGGAAAGGUGGCUACAGACUUGGAGGCCCGCAGCCGGAAAACUCCUAGGUCCGCAGCUCUAGCGCCUAAUUUUGUUUUCUCGCUUUCUUCGAAUUUUCUCCUGCCUCUGUCUCUCUCUGUCUCUGUCUCUCUCUCUCAUUUCCACGAAACCCCUGGCCACACUUUCGCGUCUUACUUGGAUCCUUUCUUCUCCCCUCCUCCUCUCUUCUUCCCACUCAGCCUUGCUGGCUCCUUCACCCCGGUGCCUGGAGAGCUCAGAGACCGGCGGACCAGGGAAUCUGGCCCUGAACCGAGCCCCAGGAGUGGCCGGAGACGGUGAUGACCUGGGGGAGGCUGGCUUGGAACCCACAUCGCCCUCCUGAGAGGGUCUAAAGAUACUCCACCACCCCACCCCCCCAAAUCACAAGGACCUGCGGGGCCAACCAGCCAAAGAAACAAAGGCGAAGUAUGAAGAGGAGGAGCAGGUCCUCAACCCCAGGUCUCCCACCGUCACCUUGCAGUCUUGAGCUUGGUACCCGAACGCAAACUGAGCCUCUGGGAAAAGGGAUAGAAGCACUUCCACUUUGAGUUCCCUCCAGCCACUUGUUGCCCGCGGCCUCAUCCUGUCUCUAGUCGCUUGCUUUCUGGGUUUUGGAAGAGGGGAUGCCAGGUUUCCCGGCCCUGGCUGGGAAUGCGACCGCGGGCCAUGGUCUCCUCUCUCGGGAUGCCCUUCUGGGCUGUGGGUUCCGCCGUCUUGGGGUGGGGGGUCAGCCGGUGGACAAAACCUUCAGUUCUAGCCCAGCCGAGUGUGGCAUAAACAGAGGAGUGGGAUUCUUUGUUUGCGCCCACCGGCUAGGGCCGGAUGCACCGCCGGGCGGUUUAAAAGGCCUGGUGGCCCUAAAGCCAGCCUUGCACUAAGUAGCUGAAAAUCCCAUCCUAAGUUCUUGGGGCUCCCCGGUGGCUAUAUAAAGUACCCUCAAAGCAGCGAAAGGCUUGGAUUUUUUAAGAGAAGUUUUAAGGAUUGAGUUAAAAAAACCCAUUCCCCUAGCAGAGGUGACAAGUUUGUACAGAUUACAAGGAACUCUGAUGGAGUUGAUUGAGCUACCCCACUCAUCUCCAGCACUAAAGACUAUUCUUAAACAUUUCCUGGUCAUUAAAUAAGGGUUUCUUUUAAAUUUUUAAAAAUAAUUAACUUAUUUAUAGUAGUUGGCAGAUUCUUUGAGACUUUCUUCAUUUAAUGGAUUGUUCCCUGCUCAGGGCCACAAUCUCAUGAGGGAUUGAUUUCCACAACAAUUUCCCUCAGCUUUGACAAGUCCAGGUCUUUCUGCUCCUCUGGCCAGAAGAGCUCAAACAAACUACCAAUAGAUACUGUGUUAGCAUUAGGAAAAAAAAAAAAAAAAAGUUAAAGGAGGGCAUUUGACAGCCAAAUGUCUUCUCCUCUGGAAACCAAGGGCUUCCAUAUAGCAGUGUUGACACUAGACUUUGAGGAUUUUUCUCCUUUUCUAGCUUUCACCCUCUCCCACAUGCUCACUUUCUGGGAUUUAACCCCUCUUCCCACAGGUGCCUUGUUUCCAUUUCCUCCACCCUUUUGCACUUCCUCAAAGCACUGGUUUCAGGCUUUCCACCACACAGGUAUCUGUUGAGUGAGUGCUACAGCUGUCUAGGCCAACCCAUGAAGGUUCAAAAAUCAAGCAAAAACUAAAUCAAAAUCAAAAAUCAAACCAAUGUGUUCCUUUUUGGGGCCCCUUGCUUAGCUGUUUCUGUUAACCAUUCUUCAUCACAGAACUUAGACUACUUCUACUGUAGUAUUCAGGCCUAAGUGCAGGGGACAUUUCUUCAGUAGUCCAGCAAUUAAAAGAUUUUCUUUCCUAUCCAAAAGUAGGUAAUCUAAAAUCUACCAUUAAGGAUGUUUGUCAAACAUCUACUUUGGCAUCUAUUAAAACUCUGAUUUGUGCAAAAAUGGAUCACUUAUACAUUGUGACCACACCUGCAGUUCUCCUGUGGCACAGUGGGUUAAGUCUCUGGCACUGUCAUGGCAGCAGCUUAGGUCACUGCUGUGGCACAGGUUCAAUCCCUGGCCCAGGAACUUCCACUUGCUGUGGGUUUGGCAAAAUAAAAUAAAAUAAAAUCAGCCUGACCACACCUGCAUCAAAAGCUUUGACUAAUACCGCAGUUGUUCUAGGCUGUGGACGCUUUUGGAAGUCUGAUGAAGCUUGUGAUUUUUAAAAAUUCUUUGUUUGUUGCCUACACUUAUAAUGGAAGGAAACUAAAACAUUCCAUUAGAAGGUGGUAAAAAUAAAGAAGCAAUUUUUUUCCCCA
Sus scrofa (pig) is the source of this 2946-nucleotide non-coding RNA. The record is from RefSeq and is a predicted model, not a curated record. Lineage: Eukaryota; Metazoa; Chordata; Mammalia; Artiodactyla; Suidae.